GGAGCAGCAGGGUAGAAAGUGGCUUAGGGAAAACUGCAGCAUGAGUAAAGGAGCAGAGAUGUAGGUUCUUUGAUCCACGGAAGGUGCAAGGCUUAAGUUAGUCAAGAGAACAUCUCCAACACCCUGGAGGAGAUGGAGUCAAGCUCAAGUCCUGACACUUUCUGGGCUGGCUGCCUAUACUUCUCCCUCCCUGUGCGAGAGACCUAAUGAGGAAAAGCAACCAAAAAGCAAAGGGCUUAAAGACGCCGAGUACAGAGCCCAUCAGACCUGAAUGAUUCUGCCAAUUCCUGUGCUGACUGGCUAGUAAUGGACGGUGCAAUUGGAGCACAGGGAUUCGUGUACCAUCGGGUGACCACGAAACAACUGUACAAGCCGGAAAUCAAUGCCCUUGGGCUGGUGGCUAUUUAAUGCAUCCCUGCACCCUGAUCACUUGAGAAAAUAAUAGGCUGUAAGGUCCCCAGGGGCCAUGGUGAUAGGUGCCAUAUACAUUUUAUGCAUAAAUUGUAGGCUUACCUUCACCACACAGUUAUUAAUAAAAUCUACCCUCAUUUAGUAGCUGCCGUCAUUUAAUAGAUUAACCUUUAUCAUGUAACUUCACCAUGCCAGCUGCAGGAGAAAGUAAUUACUUUUAAUAGAAUCUGCCCUUGAUUUAAAGCCGCAGGGGAAGCAAUUAAAUUUAAUAACCGUCAAAAGCCAUGGCUUCUAAAUGAAGCUAUAUGGCCUCUGUUAUCAGUUUUUUUACAUUUUAUUGUGUGUAAGAGAGAAAUAUCUAAAAUGGUACAAAAUUAGGCAGCGUGAUUUUUCAGUGUUAAACAUGUACGCCAGGGCUGUGUGACAUAUCGAAGUCAAUGCAGUUGAACUGUGGCUUUUUAUUUAAAUUCAGAACUGGCUGGGGGUGAUUCGGGGUUCUCAGCGUGAGCUGCGAUUUUCCAAAACUUAGUUCUGACUAUACACUGUAUUCAAAACACAUGACAAAAGGCAUAUUAUUGUUCUAGCUUGGAUAAUCUGCAGUUUUCCCAUGUGCUUGGAUAGUAAUUUAAAGUGUGGUCAGGAACCCUGUCAUUUAAGAGUGAA
Mauremys reevesii (Reeves's turtle) is the source of this 1074-nucleotide long non-coding RNA. RefSeq lists it as uncharacterized. Lineage: Eukaryota; Metazoa; Chordata; Testudines; Geoemydidae. The record is from RefSeq and is a predicted model, not a curated record. The transcript is spliced from 3 exons.